GGAAAAGUCGUAACAAGGUUUCCGUAGGUGAACCUGCGGAAGGAUCAUUACAGAGUUCAUGCCCUCACGGGUAGAUCUCCCACCCUUGAAUAUUUAUACCUUAGUUGCUUUGGCAGGCCGUGGAAACACCAUGGGCUCCGGCUUAUGCGUGCCUGCCAGAGGAAACAAACUCUGUUUUUAGUGAUGUCUGAGUACUAUAUAAUAGUUAAAACUUUCAACAACGGAUCUCUUGGUUCUG
Molecule: unclassified non-coding RNA, 238 nt
Filed under: plant metagenome
Description: partial contains small subunit ribosomal RNA, internal transcribed spacer 1, and 5.8S ribosomal RNA
Rfam family: Eukaryotic small subunit ribosomal RNA (bases 1-50)
Source: RNAcentral